CAUAGGGGUGUUGUGAGGAUUGGUGAGUGAGAUUCACAUAAAGCAUUGAGCCCAGCAUCCACCACAGUCUAAGUUAUCUGUGAAUGUGAGCUAUGGCUGCAGAAAGGGAGCUGAGUCACCUUUGGAAAGUUAUCUUCCUGCACCCUGGUCUCCUCAUUAAUCAUGUGGAAAAGUUGAAAGUUAACUAGGAAAGUGCUUCACUCAGUGAGUUUUUAGUAAGUAUGUUCCUGCUGU
Myotis daubentonii (Daubenton's bat) is the source of this 234-nucleotide long non-coding RNA. RefSeq lists it as uncharacterized. The record is from RefSeq and is a predicted model, not a curated record. The transcript is spliced from 2 exons. NCBI's taxonomy places the organism in Eukaryota, Metazoa, Chordata, Mammalia, Chiroptera, Vespertilionidae.